Molecule: ribosomal RNA, 468 nt
Filed under: uncultured bacterium
Lineage: Bacteria
Description: partial 16S ribosomal RNA
Rfam family: Bacterial small subunit ribosomal RNA
Source: RNAcentral
GAUGAACGCUGGCGGCGUGCUUAACACAUGCAAGUCGAACGGAAAGGCCCUGCUUUUGUGGGGUGCUCGAGUGGCGAACGGGUGAGUAACACGUGAGUAACCUGCCCUUGACUUUGGGAUAACUUCAGGAAACUGGGGCUAAUACCGGAUAGGAUCUCCUGCUGCAUGGUGGGGGUUGGAAAGUUUCGGCGGUUGUGGAUGGACUCGCGGCUUAUCAGCUUGUUUGUGGGGUAGUGGCUUACCAAGGCUUUGACGGGUAGCCGGCCUGAGAGGGUGACCGGCCACAAGGGGCCUGAGAGACGGCCCAGACGCGUACGGGAGGCAGCAGUGGGGAAUAUUGCAGAAUGAGCGGAAGCCUGAGGCGGCAACGCCGCGUGCGGGAUGACGGCCUUCGGGUUGUAAACCGCUUUCGCCUGUGACGAAGCGUGAGUGACGGUAAUGGGUAAAGAAGCACCGGCUAACUACGUG